GGAAGGAUCAUUACAAAAAAAACAAACAAAAAUUUAUUUCAAAAAACAAAGGAAAAAGAAGAGUAUUUCUUUGAAUCGUUAAACGACAAAAAAUUUUUACAACUCUAUGCAACGGAUGACUUGGUUUCAUGUUGGUUGAAGAGCGCAGCAAAGUGCGAUAAUUGAUGUGAAAUGCAAAACUUUAUGAAUCAUCAAAACCUUGAACGCAAUUGGCAAGUUCCUGAAAGGAACUUAAGAAAAAAAGAGAGGGGAUAAAAAAAGAAAUUGAAUGAGAUUUUUCUUCACUGAAAGGAAUUUCUUGAAAUACAGUAAGGAGAGCCUCUUGAGAUUUGGCAUGCUUAAAAAAGCGGUUGGACAAAGUGCGAACAACAUGAGAUAAUCAUAAUCAAAUGUUUGUCCGUCUGUCUGACUUUGCUAUGCCAUUCGCAAGAUCUUGCGCCGAUUCCUCCGAAAGCCAUAUGUGCUUUCUUCUUCUCCCCCUCUUUCUUUUCUUCAUUACCCGCUGAAUUUAAGCAUAUUAUUAAGCGGAGGAAAAGAAAAUAAACAUGAUACGUCUAGUAGUGGCGAACGAAGAACGUAAAGAUCAAAGGAAAAGGGUCUGGCAACCAUACAGAUGCCAGACCGAUGCUCCUUUUGAGGAAGAGGUCAGGUGGCGCUGAAGCAGUCCGAAACUCAGUUGGAAAGCUGGGGCAGAGAGGGUGAAACCCCCUUGUCGGCGGCAUUGGAGGCGUCCAAAUCUUCUCUUCUUUUAGAGUCACGUUGAUUGUGAUUUCAGCGUAAAGCAGCUGGUAAAUUUCAGCUAAAUCUAAAUAUGACAUGAAGACCGAUAGCGGAAAAGUACUGCGAAGGAAAGUUGAAAAGAAUGCCGAAAGGCAAGUUAAAAGAACCUGAAAUUGCAUAGAGGGAACAGAAUGGGAAGAGGAGGAGCUCGUUCCUGGUUCACUGGGGGCGAGCGAAAAAGGGCAGCGUGCUGCUGAGAGGAGACAGGGCUCCACAGGGGGACCACAUACAGUGGUUUGCUUUCUGGGGGCUUGCAAACUGCUCGCGUGCGCUGAGGAAAAACCAAAGGUCUCUAUCGAUGCUCUGCGGCGCGGUGGCGGCUCGACAGUUGGGGGACAAUUCAUUGUCCCUUGAUUAGCCGGGCUGCCAUGCAGCGCUCAUCAAUCACCGAGACUGGCUCUUUUAACGUCCUCUUCUCUUCGUCCCGUCUUGAAACACGGAUCAAGGAGUCUUGCAGUAUGAAGAGUAUGUUGGUGGCAAACCAAACAAUGCGCAAUGAAAGUGAAUAGGGUAGAGGGCGGUGUAACAGCUGCUUGCAUUCCCAGCGGGAAUUUGAUUUUUUUGAAGAUUCUCAGCAAAAUUCGUACUGUUAGUACCCGAAAGAUGAUGAGCUAUGCCAGAAUCGGGUGAAGCCUCAAGAAAUUGAGGUGGAGGUCCGACAUCGUGCUGACGUGCAAAUCGCUGGUUGAAUUUUGGUAUAGGGGCGAAAUACUUAUCGAAUCAUUUAGUUGCUGGUUUCUUU
RNAcentral lists this unclassified non-coding RNA (1522 nucleotides) under uncultured fungus. Its description in RNAcentral is "sequence contains 18S rRNA gene, ITS1, 5.8S rRNA gene, ITS2, 28S rRNA gene". The stretch from base 476 to 1522 matches the Rfam family "Eukaryotic large subunit ribosomal RNA", at positions 1 to 961 of the family's 3401-position model. The record is from RNAcentral. Lineage: Eukaryota; Fungi.